AGGCUGAGCAUGGAACAUUUUCAAAGAGUUCCCCCCGUAUGACGAAGUCGUGCAUGCUUAUACAUCGUUCGCCGUCAUGGCGGCACUCGGCUAUCUCGCCUGGACACAGGGAUACCUCCAUGCCCGACCGGGCAGCGCUGCAUUCGGUUUCGCCAUUGCCGCACUGGGCCUCGCGCUCGGCAUCUUAUGGGAGGUAUUCGAAUGGAUCUUUAUCAGCAUCACCUGGAGCGACACGUUAAUUGAUCUCUUGAUGGACACUAUCGGUGCUGUAGUCGCAGGCUUUUUUGCGUCGUGGAUCACCCAUCGUAAAGGCGCGCAUCCCAAAGCCACAUCUUAAGAACCGCAGCGACUGCAGCAGCGGCGACAAUCAAUUUCCUUGGAACCCGAUGGUGGCCCUUGAGUUGGAAGAAGUGAAAGAGGCACAGCAAUCCCGUCGGUCGCAGAUUUUUAAGAGACUUAUUCGACCGCAACAAAGCGAGAUCUUGGAAUUGGGAGAGCA
RNAcentral lists this unclassified non-coding RNA (499 nucleotides) under plant metagenome. RNAcentral's name for it is "partial contains 5.8S ribosomal RNA, internal transcribed spacer 2, and large subunit ribosomal RNA". The record is from RNAcentral.